Molecule: long non-coding RNA, 432 nt
Filed under: Phasianus colchicus (ring-necked pheasant)
Lineage: Eukaryota; Metazoa; Chordata; Aves; Galliformes; Phasianidae
Description: lncRNA (ENSPCLG00000001776.1)
Source: RNAcentral
GGGAUGUGGAUGUGUUUGUGCUCCUGAAAAUAACAGCUCAAACACUUUGUGAGACCAAGGAAGAAGUUGAGCAUGGACAAUGGAGAAGUUUUUGUUAAGAAACAAGCAAAAUGUUUUCUCCCUGAAGAAGAAAGAGGAGGAUGAAGCAGCAGAAGACAAUGUGGAAAGAAAACAGACAGAACAAAAGGAAGUUUCACAGUAGAGAAACAUCAAAGACAAUAUCCUCUUCAGGAAGAAGAACGAGGUGCACCUUGCUAGGAUAUCCCAGCAAGCUGAGAUAAGUCACUUGUUCUAAACAGACUACGUCAACAUUUUGCAGUUAUUUACUGGUGCAGCACUGUAUAACCAAAGGAUAGGAAAAUGUGGUUUGAAGAGGAACAGCUGCUGCUAAUAAUGUAAGUGAUAAACUGAAAUGAACAAUGGAUAUUAAGU